AUACUUGUCUCGACACCCAUUAGAUGUGUCGACAAGCUACAGAUGCUGAAGUCACACAGACUGCUACUCACCAGGGACGCUACGAAAUUAAAAUAAUUGUUACGUGCAUUUGUACGUACGCUCAACUAGUAUAUAUAUAAGCACAUAUUUUAAAUUUCGAUGUGUGGACAAACCCAUUUCAAAAUUUCUCUUUUUCGUAUGCAAAAUAAAUAACGUAACGAAACAAACUUGUAGUUCCUCUUUUUUCUCCAACUAUUAAUAUUUUACUUUUUAUUAAAUAUUUUUAUCUUCAAUAUCUUUUCUUUUUAAAAUAAAUAUUUAUAUAUUAUCACUAUUCUAUCUACUAAUAAUUUAUUGUUAUAUUAACUUUUUAAUUUGGAUACUUUUAGUUUAAAAGGGCAAAACUGACAUUUGGUGACUUGCUAAAGGGAACCACUUAAGAGUUGCAGGUUUAUCUCUUAGAAUAAGAUACCUGUCUCCGAGAUCAAUCAUAGGAUUCUUUCCCCGUUCCUCUUCGAUUGAUUUUUCUUCUCCUACAGAUAUCAAAGGAAAGACAAGGGAUUACACAUUAAUUGAGAAGUGGACAUUAAAAAGAUGAAACAUUGAGUAGAGAUAGAAUUAUGUAAACACAUUAAUUGAAAGGUGAGGGUUAGAAAGAUGAAGUAUUGGGUGAAGAUGGGGCUAUAUAAAUACAUUAAUUGAUAGGUGGAGAUUAGAAAGAUAAAGCAUUUGGUGAAGAUGGGAGUGGGAAGAGAAAAGCCAACGGUGAAGGAGGAUUCGCCACGUGGCAAAAAUUUAGGAGAGAUAAUGUAUAUGUAUAGAUAUAGAUGUAUAGAUGUAUAGAUAUAGAUAUAGAUAUAGAUAUAUAUAAACAAGGAUUCAAAAUUAAGUCUAAAAUCUGAAUUGGAAUUCGAAAUUUUAUGUUGG
This 927-nucleotide long non-coding RNA is filed under the name Ananas comosus (pineapple). RNAcentral's name for it is "long non-coding RNA (ACOM_LNC035132)". The record is from RNAcentral. Lineage: Eukaryota; Viridiplantae; Streptophyta; Magnoliopsida; Poales; Bromeliaceae.